Phascolarctos cinereus (koala) is the source of this 814-nucleotide long non-coding RNA. RefSeq lists it as uncharacterized. The record is from RefSeq and is a predicted model, not a curated record. Lineage: Eukaryota; Metazoa; Chordata; Mammalia; Diprotodontia; Phascolarctidae.
UCGGAUGCUCUGAUUUACCAGCAGUUUCCUGAAGAGCCCGGGAGAGCUGCGCGGGGAAGCCCGAGGAGACCCGACUGUUUGGCCGACCUUGUCCGCUCGUGGAGACAGGCAGAGACUGGCACUUUCUCACUCCGGCCGCUAGGUGGAGAAGAUGCUGAGUAAAUGCCUCUACUGAGAGCACAUUGUGUCUACUGGCUGAUUGGUUUUUUUCCCCUUCGGCUAAGGAGAACUUCACACGAGAGACCAAAGGUGUUUCCUCAAAGGGCUAUGUAUGGGUCAAAGAUGAUGAUUUCAGAUAUCACGCUGAUCGUUAAAAAACACAGCAGAAUGGGAAAUCCUAAAAGUUCUUUUUGGUACUAAUGGGUGCGGAGGGUUUUUCCUUUUCUGUUUGUUUUUUUUGGCUGGUUAUUAUUGGCAAUACACCUGUGGAGACUCGAGUUCUAGUGGAAGGAGCCUAUACCCGCAAGUAAGCUAAAACCCAUAGAAGUAGUAGCUGCUCUCUGGGAGGUAGCCUAGAGAGGAUAUAACACUGAGGGUGUGUGUGUGUGUGUGUGUGUGUGUGUGUGUGUGUGUGUGUGUGUGUGUGUGUGUGUAGGAAUCAAGUCCCCUUCCCCCUUACAUACUUAUAAUAUCAAUUUUGUAGUAGCAAAAAACUAGAAACAAAGCAGAUGUCCAUGCUUUGGGGAAUAGCUAAGCAAGUUCUGGCACAUGAAUAUGUUGGUCUGUAUUACUAUGUUGAAAGCAAUGAUGACUAUGAUUACAGAGAAGCAUGGGAAGAUUUAUAGGAACUGAUGCAGAUUGAGGCAAGCAGAAC